AACGAACGCUGGCGGCAUGCCUAACACAUGCAAGUCGAACGAGAGCAUCGGGACUGGUUGCGCACGCGGGCGGCGAGCGUGGGAACCGGCCCGUAGGCACGGGAUAACACUCCGAAGGGGGUGAUAAUGCCGGGAAACGUACGCUGACCAAAGAUUUAUCGCCUUUGGAUGAGCAGGCGUUGGAUUAGCUAGUUGGUAGGGUAAGAGCCGAUCAAGGCUACGAUCGUUAGCUGGUCUGAGAGGAUGAUCAGCCACACUGGGACUGAGACACGGCCCAGACUCCUACGGGAGGAAGCAGUGGGGAAUAUUGGACAAUGGGCGAAAGCCUGAUCCAGCAAUGCCGCGUGAGUGAUGAAGGCCUUAGGGUUGUAAAGCUCUUUUACCCGGGAUGAUAAUGACAGUACCGGGAGAAUAAGCUCCGGCUAACUCCGUG
RNAcentral lists this ribosomal RNA (433 nucleotides) under uncultured bacterium. RNAcentral describes it as "partial 16S ribosomal RNA". It matches the Rfam family "Bacterial small subunit ribosomal RNA", at positions 29 to 507 of the family's 1533-position model. The record is from RNAcentral.